AAUGAUGUGCCUGAUUAAAGGAUUACUGUGAUAGAGUAAAUCAAGUAAUGAAUAAUUACCUUCAUUU
RNAcentral lists this transfer RNA (67 nucleotides) under Tegrolcinia mirotibialis. RNAcentral's name for it is "tRNA-Ile". Lineage: Eukaryota; Metazoa; Arthropoda; Insecta; Orthoptera; Tettigoniidae. The record is from RNAcentral.